AAGUUUUGGCGUAUACGCGCACAAAGCUGACUUUACUGCUUUCUGAGGUUACAGGUAAACGAGCUGCUCGAGUUACUUGACCCUCCUGGUUCUAUCAGUUUAACAGGAGUUUUGACUUAUCAUUCGGGAAACGAAGAAUAUUUGGCUUUGACGGACGACGGGAAAGUUUGGGGGGAACAAACACUCCGUAAGCUACUGUUGUAUGGAAGAAAUCGUCCGAAAAUGUGGACGUCCGACGUAUUGUUUCUGUUGACAGGGCGACGAGUAGUCGGUAAAGACAAGAAAAAUAAAAAGACGCCGAUUGCUGGGAUCUCUGUAGAAAACGGAGCCUGUGGCCAUGGGAAAGUGAUGAUUGUUUCGUAUAUCCAUAACCAGGUUAUGCUCAUAUAACCACAGCGCACGAAAUUGGUCAUCUGCUGGGAUCACCUCACGAUGGUCAUGGUACAUCAGCUGACUGCGCAAACUAUUAUUAUAUAAUGGGCACCGAAGCGACAAUGUCCACAGAGCCUUUCUACUCAAAGUGUUCUAAGGCUGCCAUUAGCAAAUUUUUGAGUACCCCCAAGGCUCAAUGCUUGUUCCGAGACGACUACGUUCCGGCCAUAAAGGUCAAUCCAACACGUGAGAAAGAGAGGACUGAUAAGUGUAGCAAUUUUUUGGAUGAGGGCCAGAAACUCAUGGCUACUGAGACCUACGGAUACUGCUGGUUUUCGUGCUACACUGACCUCUCGUCUUCAUUUGUCCUGCCGGAAAAGGAUGGUACACCCUGCAACGGCGGAGAUCCCUCAAUG
Molecule: long non-coding RNA, 788 nt
Organism: Dermacentor silvarum
Lineage: Eukaryota; Metazoa; Arthropoda; Arachnida; Ixodida; Ixodidae
Exons: 7
Source: RefSeq, a predicted model, not a curated record